Molecule: long non-coding RNA, 1430 nt
Filed under: Callithrix jacchus (white-tufted-ear marmoset)
Lineage: Eukaryota; Metazoa; Chordata; Mammalia; Primates; Cebidae
Description: lncRNA (ENSCJAG00000066391.2)
Source: RNAcentral
UUAUUUAUUCCUUAACACCAUCCUGACACUGCCUAUGAAUACUAUGAUGGCCACCUCUGUGCAGAGAGGCUUGGCUAUCUAUUUUCAUAAGAAUCAUAGUUGUGAUCCUCAGUUUUCACAAUGAACGUAUCAAUUCUAUCAUUUACUUUAUUCUAGUGAAUAAGCAGAAUUUCUAUUGAUCAGCAACAUAGAAUACCUGGAUUCCAAGCAUAUGUCUUCAAUUGACCUAAAUAAAACAAACAAGAGGCCAUUUCAUGACACAGGGAAUCUCCAUAGGAGCAUGACAGAAAGCCGUUUUUGGGGAACAAGUGAUGUUUGGUUACAUGAGUAAGUUCUUUAGUGGUGAUUUGUGAGAUUUGGUGUACCCAUUAUCUGAGCAGUAUACACCAAUUCUUUUUCUACAUAUAUACCCAUAAAAACUGAAAACUUUUGUUCAUACAACAACAUGUACAUGAAUGUUAAUAGUAGCAUUGUACAUAAAAAGCCAAAAAAUGGAAACAAAGCAAAUAUCUAUCAACUGAUGAAUCGAUAAACAAAUAUGGUAUAUCCAUACAAUGGAAUGUUAGUCUCCCACAUAAAGGAAUGAAGUACUGGUACAUGGAAUAACAUGAAUGAACCUUGAAAACAUUAUUUUAAGUGAAAAAAGCCAGAUUCAAAAGGCCAAAUAUUGUAUAAUUACAUUUACAUUAAGUGUUCAAAAUAGGCAAAUCCAUAGAGUCAUAGCUUAGUGGUUGCCAGGAGCUGGAAUAAGAAGGCAUAGGCAGUGAUUGCUAAUGGAUACAGGGUUUUUUAAGGUAAUGAAAAUGUUUGGAUUAGAUCUUGGUGACGCUCGAACAACUUUGUAUAUUCUGAAACCCAUUAAAUUGUACACUAUAAUGUGGUAACUUUUGAAGUAUGUGAAUUACCAUCUAAUUUUUUAAAAACUGGAACUGCAAAAUAUUGGCAAACAUACUAGAAAGACAUGGCUAAUUGAAAAAAGGAAGUAAAAAGUGAAAGAAUAUAUGAAAAUAACAAAAAUAGGAAAAAUUCAUGAUGUAAUCUCUUUUCUUAGAGAAAGGAGAUGAUAUAUAAUAAUGGGUAAAACAACAGAAAAAUAAAGCCCAUUGUAUUUUCAGUGCAUUUUUUUUCCAAUUAAAGUACCUACUUGAUAAGAUAUCCAUUUGUGUGUGUUUGGGUGUUGGCAAAACAUAAGACAUAAACAGCCAUCUUUUUUUGAAACCCAGAUAAUUCUAGACUUAAAAUCCACUGUUUUUUUAUAUUUUGACUGUGAUUACAAUUUUUGCAUUCUUUUUUUUAUGUAAAAUCUUUGAAAUCCAUUGGUAUUUUACAUUUUAGUACAUCUCAACUUGGAUGUAAAAUGUUUAUCAAAAAUAUUUGAUCUGUAUUUAGAUUUGUAAAAAUUACAGUUAAAAUAAUUUAAUAUAAAAGAG